This 283-nucleotide ribosomal RNA is filed under the name uncultured bacterium. RNAcentral's name for it is "partial small subunit ribosomal RNA". It matches the Rfam family "Bacterial small subunit ribosomal RNA", at positions 26 to 288 of the family's 1533-position model. The record is from RNAcentral.
AGAAUCAACGCUGGCGGCGUGCCUAACACAUGCAAGUCGAACGCGGUUAUCACUGCUCCGUAAGGAAUGGUGGUGACUGAGUGGCGAACGGGUGAGUAACACGUGGGUGAUCUACCUCUGAGUGGGGGAUACGUCCGAAAGGACGCUGAUACCGCAUGACGUUCCGGGUUUGAAGACCGGGAAACCAAAGUCGGGGACCGCAAGGCCUGACGCUUGGAGAGGAGCCCGCGCCUGAUUAGCUAGUUGGUGAGGUAACGGCUCACCAAGGCGACGAUCAGUAGCC